AUGCAGUCGAGCGGACAGAUGGGAGCUUGCUCCCUGAUGUUAGCGGCGGACGGGUGAGUAACACGUGGGUAACCUGCCUGUAAGACUGGGAUAACUCCGGGAAACCGGGGCUAAUACCGGAUGGUUGUUUGAACCGCAUGGUUCAAACAUAAAAGGUGGCUUCGGCUACCACUUACAGAUGGACCCGCGGCGCAUUAGCUAGUUGGUGAGGUAACGGCUCACCAAGGCAACGAUGCGUAGCCGACCUGAGAGGGUGAUCGGCCACACUGGGACUGAGACACGGCCCAGACUCCUACGGGAGGCAGCAGUAGGGAAUCUUCCGCAAUGGACGAAAGUCUGACGGAGCAACGCCGCGUGAGUGAUGAAGGUUUUCGGAUCGUAAAGCUCUGUUGUUAGGGAAGAACAAGUACCGUUCGAAUAGGGCGGUACCUUGACGGUACCUAACCAGAAAGCCACGGCUAACUACGUGCCAGCAGCCGCGGUAAUACGUAGGUGGCAAGCGUUGUCCGGAAUUAUUGGGCGUAAAGGGCUCGCAGGCGGUUUCUUAAGUCUGAUGUGAAAGCCCCCGGCUCAACCGGGGAGGGUCAUUGGAAACUGGGGAACUUGAGUGCAGAAGAG
This 618-nucleotide ribosomal RNA is filed under the name Bacillus subtilis. Its description in RNAcentral is "bacterial SSU rRNA". It matches the Rfam family "Bacterial small subunit ribosomal RNA", at positions 55 to 656 of the family's 1533-position model. Lineage: Bacteria; Bacillati; Bacillota; Bacilli; Caryophanales; Bacillaceae. The record is from RNAcentral.